This 252-nucleotide ribosomal RNA is filed under the name uncultured bacterium. RNAcentral's name for it is "partial 16S ribosomal RNA". It matches the Rfam family "Bacterial small subunit ribosomal RNA", at positions 524 to 776 of the family's 1533-position model. The record is from RNAcentral.
UACGGGAAGGGCAAGCGUUAUCCAUCAUGACUGGGCGUAAAGAGUCCGUAGAUUGUAAAGUAAGUUAAUUGUUAAAUUUUGAAGCCUAACUUAGAAUAAGCUUUUAAUACUGCUUUACUUGAGUUUUAUGCAGAAAAGUAGAAUUUUAUAUGAAAGGGUAAAAUCUGUAGAUAUAUAAAGGAAUAUCAGAGGCGAAGGCGACUUUUUGGUAAAAACUGACGUUAAGGGGCGAAAGUGUGGGGAGCAAACAGG